This 789-nucleotide ribosomal RNA is filed under the name uncultured bacterium. RNAcentral describes it as "bacterial LSU rRNA". It matches the Rfam family "Bacterial large subunit ribosomal RNA", at positions 173 to 1011 of the family's 2925-position model. The record is from RNAcentral.
AACGAGGCGAACUCGGGGAACUGAAACAUCUAAGUACCCGAAGGAAGAGAAAUCAACCGAGAUUCCGAAAGUAGCGGCGAGCGAAAUUGGAUUAGCCCUUAAGCUUUUAAUGAUGCAGGUGAAGACUCUGGAAAGUGUCGCAGCAAAGGGUGAUAGCCCCGUAACCGACGCAUCAUAAUCAGUGAAAUCGAGUAGGGCGGGACACGUGAUAUCCUGUCUGAAUAUGGGGGGACCAUCCUCCAAGGCUAAAUACUACUGACUGACCGAUAGUGAACCAGUACCGUGAGGGAAAGGCGAAAAGAACCCCUGUGAGGGGAGUGAAAUAGAACCUGAAACCGUGUACGUACAAGCAGUAGGAGCACCUUCGUGGUGUGACUGCGUACCUUUUGUAUAAUGGGUCAGCGACUUAUAUUCAGUGGCAAGGUUAACCGUUUAGGGGAGCCGUAGGGAAACCGAGUCUUAACUGGGCGACACAGUCUCUGGAUAUAGACCCGAAACCGAGUGAUCUAGCCAUGGGCAGGUUGAAGGUUGAGUAACAUCAACUGGAGGACCGAACCGACUAAUGUUGAAAAAUUAGCGGAUGACUUGUGGCUAGGGGUGAAAGGCCAAUCAAACUCGGAGAUAGCUGGUUCUCCCCGAAAUCUAUUUAGGUAGAGCCUCGGACGAAUACUACUGGGGGUAGAGCACUGUUAAGGCUAGGGGGUCAUCCCGACUUACCAACCCUUUGCAAACUCCGAAUACCAGUAAGUACUAUCCGGGAGACACACGGCGGGUGCUAACGUCCGUCGU